Molecule: long non-coding RNA, 259 nt
Filed under: Vulpes vulpes (red fox)
Lineage: Eukaryota; Metazoa; Chordata; Mammalia; Carnivora; Canidae
Description: lncRNA (ENSVVUG00000015186.1)
Source: RNAcentral
UGUAAAGGAAGCUCCCUAGGAGGCACCUGUGACAAUAUGAGAGGUCAGAGGUUGCAGUGAAAGUGUUGCGAGAACAUGUCUCCGGGCAAAAUGUUGAAAUGUGACUUUUCAACAAACAUCCCUUGGCUGCUGAAUCGGUCCAUCGUCAAUCAACUGAAGGGAGGACAGUGGAUGUUCUCAGAGUUAAAGAGGGUUUAUUUGAAGUGUCUAAUUGGAGGAAGGAUUUCCUGGUACUUGACCACAAAUAUUCUCAAUGUAG